AGAGUUUGAUCAUGGCUCAGGAUGAACGCUAGCGGCAGGCUUAAUACAUGCAAGUCGUGGGGCAGCAUGACUGUAGCAAUACAGUUGAUGGCGACCGGCAAACGGGUGCGGAACACGUACACAACCUUCCUUUUAGUGGAGAAUAGCCCAGGGAAACUUGGAUUAAUACUCCGUAACAUAUAGAAGUGGCAUCACUUUUAUAUUAAAGCAGUAAUGCGCUAGAAGAUGGGUGUGCGGCUGAUUAGAUAGUUGGCGGGGUAACGGCCCACCAAGUCGACGAUCAGUAACUGGUGUGAGAGCACGACCAGUCACACGGGCACUGAGACACGGGCCCGACUCCUACGGGAGGCAGCAGUAAGGAAUAUUGGUCAAUGGACGCAAGUCUGAACCAGCCAUGCCGCGUGAAGGAUGAAGGUCCUCUGGAUUGUAAACUUCUUUUAUAUGGGAAGAAAUUCUCGCAUUCUUGCGGGAUUGACGGUACCAUAGGAAUAAGCACCGGCUAACUCCGUGCCAGCCGCCGCGGUAAUAC
Molecule: ribosomal RNA, 529 nt
Filed under: uncultured bacterium
Lineage: Bacteria
Description: bacterial SSU rRNA
Rfam family: Bacterial small subunit ribosomal RNA
Source: RNAcentral